This 2289-nucleotide unclassified non-coding RNA is filed under the name Hevea brasiliensis (rubber tree). The record is from RNAcentral. Lineage: Eukaryota; Viridiplantae; Streptophyta; Magnoliopsida; Malpighiales; Euphorbiaceae.
GAAAAUAUUCGUUUUUCAAGAUUCCGUUGAUUAAAAAAUAACACACUUUAUUAUCAGAAGGAAAUUAAUAAAAAAAUUUGAGAUAAAUUUCCUUAAAAUUCACGUUGAAGUUCUUAAUUAUUCAUAAUCAAUUAUAUUUAAACACCAAGACUAGACUUUAACAGUAACACCUUAAUAUCAUAGAAGACUUCUUUUCCUUUAGCUAUCCCUUAAGUAUAAUAACAAGAGUUCAAACUGCUCCAGAUUUUAAUUGAAGCACAAAUGUCUAAAACUAUUCAAGUUGAUACUCAACUUGGAUUUACCUUCACCCUCUUCAACAUGCGUGUGUAAUACUAGAUUUAAAUCAGAAAAUUGUUGGGAGCAGUUUGUGUGAAACGUACCAUUGACUUUGGGGAUGGGGUGCACUUCGGUUGCUGGAGUUGGUCAUGAUGUACUGUUUAACACAAUAGAAGUCUCAUGAUUCAAUUAAUGGAACAAAUGGAACUUCAUUAAUAUCUGGAGCAAAACCACCCCUAGAUUUCAAUGACUACUGUUACACUUCAGUCUUAUUUGAAUUUCCAUGGUGAAUAAACAUAGAUUUCAACAUUGUCAAGGACUGACUUUAUUUAUUGAUCAGGAAAAAGAACAUUGUUACAUCAAUUCUGAGAAUUUCAUUCAGUAUUCAUGCUUUAUAUGGAAAGAUGGACAGAAAUAUGUCCCUGAUAAAACCAUAUCUAACCUGGCAAAAUUCUUCAAACAGAAGAUUGAUAGACAUGACAUUAUAAAAAGUAUUCUUCGGUCAUUUUUAUCGACUUCAUAUUAUCAUGUCCCAUCUCCAGUAUAAACCAGUAUACCUCAUUCCACUUGGUUUUUAUCCUGUGUUGAACCUUGCUAAAUUGAUUAUAACUUCAGUUUGAACCCCACUGAUAAGAAAUCAUCCAUUUUCUUGGUAUUUGUCUUCCUCUUCUCCAUCUCCAGUGCUUGCUUCUUCUCCACCUCCUCAGUACCAUCAUCGAGUGGAACAAGGCUUCCCACGUACAUUUCUGCACCAAAAGACUUCGGACCGCCCCUAAUCUUCAAAGUCCUAACAGUUCUCCUAUUCCAAUCAUACCAUACAAGCUUUUGAUCAUUCACUUCUAAUAGCAUCUUAUCCCCAUCUUUUGAAUAAGCCAAAGGCCUCAAAAACAUAAAAGCACUAAUGGAUUUAGUUGUUCGAAAUGAAAACAGCUUAAUCCAGGAUUCCUUAAUUCCAUACUCCCGCAUAACCCACAAAUCAACACAAAUAUGUUCAUAAUUACACAUCACACACAACCUCCCCUCCAAGACCCCAACAUCAACCUGAAAGUUUAACCUGUUAUUGGCAUAUUCAGGCUGGGGCACUUCACGGAACAUCUCAGACACAAUAUCAAAAGCAAUAAUAGAACUUUUCACACCCAAUUCCGGCCAGUGAGGCAAAAUCCAAUGCAAAGCAUUAGAAGCAAAAACUCCAUAUCCUCUCCUAUGCAAAACCUGGAAAAAUGGUUUAUGCAAGAACCUAAGAUAUUUAGGCAAGCCCUUUAUUCUCUUCCACGACUCACUUUUCAGACUAUAAAUCUUCACCUCAUAAUCGUAAUCGAAAGACUCACACCUAUCAUCAUCCCCAACAAAAGUAACCAUUCUAACUAGUUUAUAGUCUUCAUUAAUCGAAUCAUAACCAAAGCCAUAAAACACAUACCCAGUUUUCAAAUACCUAUCGGGCGGCUCAAUCUCUGAAGCUGGCACUCUUUUCAGCUUUCUUGUUGCUAUGUUAUACAAGGCUAGAUCUCGCUCAGAAUUUCGCAACGCAACCAACCCAUUACACGAACCGAUGGCUUCAGUCCCGCCACCCACAUGUAAAGGGUGUUCGAGGGAUUCCGCGGAGCCAAUGGCGGAAGCAGCAACAUCAAGAGAAUCAAAAUCGACGGUAUAGAGAUUCCAAUCUCGAAGGAUGAGAGAGAGAUUGGAUCUGGUAUGAAGUGAAUGGGAGAGAUGGAGUUGAAUGAAAUUUGGACCAUUAAUUAAUGAGCAGAGAGGUUUUGAUAAGCAUCGGAAGCGGAGAAGAGCCUUGAUAGGGAGCUGAAGGAGGAUGUCGUUGAUGAUAUCCUGAGGGACUUUGGACAUUUUUCCUUUCUGUCAGUGUUUGGCUGAGAGGAAAAUGGAAGGGAAAGAAGGAAGAGAGAAAAUAAGGAGGUGGAAACCAUAAAUAGAUUAGGUUUUUGAAAGGUGCUUCGGUUGGGGAAAGGAACAGACAGAUGGCGAAUUGCAUGGGUAGAUGCUUCCAGAUAACACCAU